CUGGGAUUUAGCCAGUGGAUCUUUGGGCUCAGGAGUCAUUAAUAUGGCAUUUAGGGUCAGCUGUGGGGAGAACAGUAAACACUGCUUCUUAUUUGGACUCGCCUCAGUAAGUCAUUUGGCAGUGGUAAGCAGCUUCCCUAUUCCUGUGGGGUGUCGUCACUGUGGCCACCGGCCCAUCUUCUUAACAGGAUGGCUUUGUGGAACGUUUGCUGUGUGCUUUGGGCAUCUGGUUUUAUCCUUCUGAUAACCUGGGACCAAUGGUCUCCCUAUUUACAGAGGAGGAAAUGUGGCCCUGGGAAGAAUAAGAUGCUUGCCCUCAGACAGCAGAGAAUUGCACAGCAGCCACUGGAUACCAGCUCCGACCCUAUGGAGCGUGCCAGCCAUACCACUCCAGAAAGGUGGGUGUCCAGGAGUCGCCAUGCUUCCUGCUUAGAUUCGAGGAGCCUGAACUGGAGCAGCCCCGACCAGCGCACCACCCAGCUGGGCGGCAGAACUUCCUCUGCAGCGGGGCUCCUGCUCCCUGCCUUUCUGUCAGCUCCUGUGAGCCAGCAAAGCUCCCAAGAAGGACAGCACUGACGGGGCCCGCCUGACAGACGUGGCCAUCAACCACUUUGUUACUCUGAUUGACUGCACAGUGUUUUAGGCAAAUUAACCCGUCCAAAAAAAUUCUUUAUUACUAAGCUCACACACAGAUGGAAGCAUGAACUAGACAAUUCUGGGUCUGGCUUCACAAUUAACUGAGAUGUUGCACUAGGCUAAUGAACUUUCCAGGCUGCACGUUCUCUGUCAGCAGAGGAGGCUGGCUGGGCCAGGAUGGAGUUAAAGGACGCAGACAGAUCUUGACAUCAACACUCCAGAAAGCCGUGGGCAGGGCAGCCAAGAAAGAAACGAGUCGAGCUGGUGGCAGAAAGUCAGGGGAAGCCCACGGCUCUGACCUCUAGAGACUUUCCUUCUCCCCCCAGCCCCUGCCCGAUAGUGGAGCGCCUACAGAUGUUUCUGUCCACAGCGCUGAUCCUGACUAGAAGGACUGAUGGUGCUGCCUUACAAAACCGACCAGAAGGAAUAUCAAUGAGAACUGGAACCCUGGGAAACUGAACCUUUGACAUGGAGGCUCCCUGAAUGCGCAGCGAGGGAGAGCAACCAGCCAGCCUCAGGGCGGCCUGCAGAGCCAGGAAGCAGGGCCUCCCUGCCAGGAAGAAAGACUUCUCUGGCUUCUGAGCACACCAUGAGAGGCUGGGACGGACACAGAAUUUCUGUGUGAUUAGCCCGGAUGGAGCACCUGGGGACAGCGGUUCAACUCCGUGUCUGAUUCUUGUCAUAGCAUACAAGGCCAGCCCGUGGGACAAACACACAUUGCUUGUUUCCAAAGAGAUGAAAGGCACUGGCUUAAAUUAAAUGGACAAAGUUAAAAUAAUUGAGACAUCUUUGUUAACAAAUCAUGGAACACAUUGGUAGUGGCGGCCUUCAUCUCUAUUCUCUAUAGCAAGGACAUCUGGACAGGUGUCUACCCUCGGCUGUCCCCCAGCUCUCCAGUCACUCACCCAACUGUCCAUCCCUCCGGCUAGCUUGACUGAUGACGUCAUGGUACGAGGCCUUCACUCCCAAGACCUCAGGGACUCAUGACCAUCCCCUCUUGACCCUUCAUCUCUGAGCCCAGCUGGCCAUGUGGAAGCUGGGGGAGGACUAGUAUCGAAAGCAGCUAUGAUCCUGCCUGGAUCCUCCCAAAUUCUUAGCCCAUCGCCAGCUGGCGUUCUCUCUUCCACCAUGGGUCACAAAGGUGGACCAAGUAUCCUGAAGUCCAGCAGUCCUCAGCUCAGGUGCCCCUGGAGGUGCUGCUCUGUGGUUGUUUGGCCUGCCCAGCUGCAUCCUUCUCCCCUUGCUAUAUGGCAGGAGCCUUGCUGAGACCCCUGAGCCCCUGGCCCUGCAGCACGCACCUGACACCUUACAGGGGCCACCCCACCUACCCACGCUGCUCAGGUCAGUGACACACAGGGCCAACUGCUCCACCCACCCACUGUGCAGUCCCACAAUCUCACGCUGGGCUUUGUGUCCUCUGGGGCUGGAGACCAGAAGAGCCUCAAGCAGCCUGACCUGGAUCCAUGCAGACACCGACACCUUCUGGAACCCAGGCAGAGGGUAAACUCUGAUGAGCAGGACGAGUAUCCAGCACCGAUAUGAGCUGUGACACUUUGUAAAGCUUUUGCUCUUGGUGAACCCAAGAGUUCUAAGCACUGUUGUGCUUUGGGCACAGUUUUUGGACUGUAAACUACUGUAUUUGGGCUUUUAGAUAGAGCCGAGGGCCUGGGCACUAGCCGAAGAAAUCCUCUAAUUGGUAUGUCCUCCUCCCAGUCCUGGAGAGAGCACACGAUGGAGCAGGAACCGUAAGAGCAGAGGGUUGUGGGGACAGUAGAGGACAGGGAGACCGUAGAGGACAGGGAGGUGAUGGGCCAGAGGCCAGUGCCUGUCCUGUGAGUGUGCAGCUAGCGAGGGGAAAGACAGCAGAUACCAGAUCCGCGCUUCCACGGCAGAGGCCCUGGUCCCUGCGUGGCAGGAGGGUGACCGCAGGGCCUGGCACUUGUUGGGCAUAUUGUAGGGGCCAGUGCCCAGAUGCAAGCGGAGCCAGGGCUGCUCCUUGGUCCCACCAUAAGUGGGUGAGACUCAUGGCCCCGGUCCCUGCCACACCUCUUGUCCCACAGCUGCCUUUGGUGAUGGGCAGCGAGUGCCCCAGCCCCUUUAUAUGCUCCUCUUGGCUCAGGCUUCACGGUGUGGGUGAGAGGCCAGGGAGCUGCCCUGGUCGGUCCCGGCCCCCACCUGCAGUGGAGGUGUCAGUCCUUCGGGGGAAAAGGGCAACGUGCUCCACCCCUGCUGAUGUACACGGACGUCAGCUAACUGGAAACACGGCUUCUUCCACCGAGACGCCCGCCCCUGCGCUGUGCUUACUGAGCCCCUGCCCCAUGUGGACACAGUGCUGGAACCUGACUGUCUUCAGCUACAGAGCUGCAGAUCUGGCUCAGGGCCCUGGAGAGUGAGGAGACAGGGUCAGGGUGAGCCCCAGGCCGAGGGACCUAAGUGGAAGAGCUGCAUCUCUGCCCUGGGCAUCUCUGGGCACCGCCCCAGAGCUCAUCCCAUCAGGUGCACCUGCAUCUCUCAUGUGUUCAACAACGACCCACCACUGAGCACUGCCCACGCCUGUCCAGCCG
Fukomys damarensis (Damara mole-rat) is the source of this 3200-nucleotide long non-coding RNA. The record is from Ensembl. Lineage: Eukaryota; Metazoa; Chordata; Mammalia; Rodentia; Bathyergidae.